RNAcentral lists this long non-coding RNA (681 nucleotides) under Androctonus crassicauda. Lineage: Eukaryota; Metazoa; Arthropoda; Arachnida; Scorpiones; Buthidae. The record is from RNAcentral.
CUUGCCAAUUGUGCUUUUGCUAAUGGUAUCGUUUUAUACUCUAUGGCAGUGUAGUUAACUUUAUUAUGAAUAGGAGUCAGUUAUCAAGGGAAAAAGACAUGGUUUACUGUCUUGCUCCUAGCUCACAAUGCAUCUGCACACCAAGCUGCAGAUAGUCACUUUUUGGUGCAAAUAUGAUUAUGAAAUCUUGCCCCAACUUCAUACUCUCCUGACUUGGUACCUUCAGAAUUUACCUGUUUCAAAAUACGAGAAAUUUACAGAAAAGAAGUUUCUUCAAUGAUGAGGAGGUUAUUACUGCUGAGGAGAGCUGGUUUGCCUACAAAUCUGCUGACCUCUACAACUGGGAUUAAACAACUGUGUGAGAAGUGUAGGGUCCUAAGAGAUGGAUAUACUAGAGAAGGGAGAAUUGGAGGACCAAAUUUUAGAUUCCUAGUACAUCUGCAUUAUGAUGAGGGUAAGAACUUUUUGGCCACCCCUUGUACAAUAUCUCUAAUAGCACGCAAUGAUGUAGAACUAAUCUUGUGCUAAUCCUAUCAAAAUUUAACUUGCAUAACUUUAUUUAAUAUUAUUUUUAAGAUAAGAUAGCAAAUUAGGGAUAAACUAUACAUAAAAAAUAAAGUUAUAACAACAUUUUAAUAUGAAAACUAAAUUUCAAUAGCUUGAUGAAAAUAUAUAACACAG